GACGAACGCUGGCGGCGUGCCUAAUACAUGCAAGUCGAACGCAGUGGGGACGGGUGAGUAACACGUUGGUAACCUCCCAUCCACGGGGAUAACACUUGGAAACAGGUGCUAAACCGAUAUUGAUGGCUGGACCCGCGGUGCAUUAGCUAUUUGGGGAGGAAACGGCUCACCCAGGCCACGAUGCAUAGCCGGCCGGAGAGGGUGAUCGGCAAAACGGGGACUGAGACACGGCCCAGACUCCUACGGGAGGCAGCAGUAGUGAAUCUGCGGCAAUGGACGGAAGUCUGACCGAGCAACGCCGCGUGAGUGAAGAAGGUUUUCGGAUCGGAAAACUCUGUUGUUAGAGAAGCGGAAUCUAACGAGAAAGCCACGGCUAACUACGUGCCAGCAGCCGCGGUAAUAC
RNAcentral lists this ribosomal RNA (403 nucleotides) under uncultured bacterium. Its description in RNAcentral is "partial 16S ribosomal RNA". It matches the Rfam family "Bacterial small subunit ribosomal RNA", at positions 28 to 526 of the family's 1533-position model. The record is from RNAcentral.